RNAcentral lists this transfer RNA (75 nucleotides) under Gracilibacteraceae bacterium. RNAcentral describes it as "tRNA-Glu". It matches the Rfam family "tRNA". From Rfam's summary of the family: Transfer RNA (tRNA) molecules are approximately 80 nucleotides in length. Their secondary structure includes four short double-helical elements and three loops (D, anti-codon, and T loops). Further hydrogen bonds mediate the characteristic L-shaped molecular structure. tRNAs have two regions of fundamental functional importance: the anti-codon, which is responsible for specific mRNA codon recognition, and the 3' end, to which the tRNAs corresponding amino acid is attached (by aminoacyl-tRNA synthetases). tRNAs cope with the degeneracy of the genetic code in two manners: having more than one tRNA (with a specific anti-codon) for a particular amino acid; and 'wobble' base-pairing, i.e. permitting non-standard base-pairing at the 3rd anti-codon position. The record is from RNAcentral. Lineage: Bacteria; Bacillati; Bacillota; Clostridia; Eubacteriales; Gracilibacteraceae.
GGCCCGUUGGUCAAGCGGUUAAGACAUCGCCCUUUCACGGCGGGAACACGGGUUCGAGUCCCGUACGGGUCACCA